This is an RNA transcript of Heterocephalus glaber (naked mole-rat), 3046 nucleotides long. It is a transcript of the gene named centrosomal protein 20, with no coding region annotated. The record is from RefSeq and is a predicted model, not a curated record. NCBI's taxonomy places the organism in Eukaryota, Metazoa, Chordata, Mammalia, Rodentia, Bathyergidae.
AUCAUGUCCAGUAGAUGCUAUACUAAGGACUACGUGAGGCCACCCCGGGCUGGAUGCGGGGUGUGACUUCUGGCUGCUGUGAGGGACCGUGAUUGCCAUGGGGUGAGAGGAGACCUGGGAGAAGGCAAGGGCAGAGUCAAGGAUUCACCCAACCGCAGAAAGAAUACAUUGACAGAGGUGGGAUCGGGCACGCCGAAAUCUGUGCGCCCAUUGGCUCUAGACCACGCCGCAGAGCGGGGCGGAACUGCGCUUGCGUACGGCUAAGGCGCGCCCCCGCCGGCCAUUAAACAUGGCGACUGUCACCGAGCUGAAAGCUGUUUUAAAGGACACCUUGGAAAAGAAGGGGGUCCUAGGGCAUUUAAAAGCAAGGAUCCGUGCUGAAAUAUUCAAUGCCCUGGAUGAUGAUCGUGAACCUCGACCAUCAUUGUCGCAUGAAAACCUUUUAAUUAACGAAUUAAUUCGAGAGUAUUUGGAAUUCAACAAAUAUAAGUACACAGCAUCUGUCCUCAUAGCAGAGUCUGGUCAACCUGUAGUUCCACUGGACAGACAAUUUCUCAUCCGUGAACUAAAUGCCUUCGAAGAAUCAAAAGAUAACACAAUACCUCUUUUAUAUGGAAUUUUAGCUCACUUCUUGCACGGCACCAAGGAUGGCAUCCGAAGCGCACUCCUGAAAGGGUCCUCACUUCAGCCUCCAAACCCAGAUCUUGGCAGGCCGCCUAGUGGGAGAAAGCAAGAGGGGACAAGAUGGGAAAAAAGAGAUGAGAUUUUUAUAACAGAAAAGACCUUUACCAGCUCAACUUUAUUGCACUGUCAAGUACAAAAAUAAUAGACUUCUGUUGAAGACAGUGGGCACAUGUGUAAUCCCAGCAAUUUGGAGACUGAGGCGAAGGAUUGCAGAUGGCCCGCUGGGAAAGGAGAGGGGCCCGAGCACCAGUGUCCAGGAGCUCCGUGCUUCCCAGCAGUGAGGAGAUGACGCGUCUCUUAGGGCGUCUUUCAUCUCACCAUGACGUGUACCGAAUAACUUAUUAUCUCAGUGUUACCAGUAUGCACCUUUAUUUGUGUUUUGUAGAAAUUUGAGUUUCUGCAAACAUUUAGACCCCCAUGUUUCACUGCAUUUGUGAAUAAAAGCUGUCAUCUGCCUUAUGGGAUGUGACUGGAAAGAAAAUACAUUGUUUUUAGGAAAUAUUGAAAAAGUUUUUUAAGUUUGUGAAAAAUGAGUUUUUCAGUAAUUUGUAUAUUCUUCUAAAAAAGAUUUUUAUCCAUGUGUCCUGCUUUUUGACAUAGCACAUUAAUUACAUUUUCUUCAACUUGAAUUAUGUGGAUUUGUAGGAAAAUUCAUUCGUGUUUUUAAAAGGAAGUUAAAAGAACAUUAUAGCCAGAAAAACCUUAAUUCCUGUAAAGUUUGUUUUAUUUUAAAAGUAGCUGUUUUUCAUUUAACCCUUCAUAAUUAGAUGGAAUAGCUGAAUUACUACCUAAAAUUGACCUUUUAAACUAGGUAACAAUGUUCUUUUUAUUUCCUUAGACCAUUUUGGCUUCUACUGGGAGAUUUAAUUAAAAGGUAGAGGGGGAAAUCAUUCUUUUAAUUUUGCUGUAAGUAAAACAAAGAGUUUAUUAUAGGAAGAAUGUAAAAUACGCAUAAAGACACAGGCUUGGGGAGAAACACCAGAGAGUGACUUUUAAUAGAUGGCAUUGUUUAAGCGCCCUGUGGCUCUCGGUUGUGUAACUACUGAUGCAGUCUAAAGGGCUGGCCGCUUCUUCCUCGGGCUCUGAAAGGCUGAUUAAAGAUCAGUCUUCAUUCUUGGAUUGAAACAGAGUGAGAGCUUUUCCAGUACUAUCUCUAAAUGCUCUUGAUAUUUAUUGGGGAAGUUUUAUAGUGCAGCAGCAACAGACUCACCUCACAGAAGCAGCUGUGGUACUAGACAGUGCUAAUUGGCCAGAGCCACGGGGAUAUUCUGAAUGCAGCGUCCUGGGCUGGCUGGAGAACUGGCAGAGUGCAGUGGAAGUGUCUUCCACAGGGCAGAGCCAGAGUCCUCAUAGGGUGCUAGGACUGUGCUGACUUUGAAAGUUAGGGAAACUUUUGAUGUUAGUAAGUGUUACUCCUUAUAGAUUUAAGAAUUUUUAUCAAAAUGCAAAAAAAAUUUUUUUUUUGUGCUGCUGGGGAUUGAACCCUGGGCCUUGAGCACACUAGGUAAGUGCUCUACCAGUGAGCUACACUCCCAGCUCCAGAAAAAUAUUAAUGAUACCAUUUUAAACUACACAUUUUACAUAUAGAUGCAGUCUUUUAAGAGCCCAUUUCCAUUUUUAAAUCUCCAAUAUCUGAUUACAGUUAUGAAUUGCAUUGUAUUGUAUGUGGGAAUCUAAAUAUCUGAAUUUUCCCAAAGGACUUGGUUUACAGCCAAGGAUGUUAAGUUUACCUCAGGAAUUGCAAUCAUGUAGGACUAGAUUAAGAAAAAAUGCUAGAGUUUAUAAUGUUGGAUGCUGAUAUAAAAUCAUCAUCAUGAAUGCUAAAAUCAUCACAUGUAGUCCAUAGUGCUUUUUGUAUGCAUUGUUCUGUACCUUGUUUGUGCCUAGGCACAUUUUAUACUUUGAGUGUAUUAUUUAAUUUAAAAAUUACCUCACUUUUUUGUAAAGAAUGUUCUGUUGUUAAGAAUCAGAAAGAGGUUUGGGGCUGCCUCUCUGGGCUUGUGGUUGGGGCCCUCAGAAAGCUCGCUGUUGGAGAGAGUGGCAUAGGGCUGGUGGAGCGUAGUUGGUGUCAGCCGUACCCCUGGGAAAGCUACUCUUCUUAGGCUGUCAGGGAUGGGGUCUUCUGUGGUCGGUCUCUGGGGAUGGCAUCAUAAUCUACGGUUUCAAAAAGCAAGUUGGAAAAGACAAAAGCAUCUAUUUUCAAAACACUACAAGAUUUUUAUCCAAAAAUGAGGAUUUAUAUUCUUAAAAGUUGAGAAAGUCUACUCUAGAAAUUUCUGUGCUUGGGAUUUUUGAAGUGUCAAUCACUUUAAAAAGUGUAUGGGCUGAGACAUUUAAAACAAUAAAAGACUUAAUACAUGUA